RNAcentral lists this ribosomal RNA (393 nucleotides) under uncultured bacterium. Its description in RNAcentral is "partial 16S ribosomal RNA". It matches the Rfam family "Bacterial small subunit ribosomal RNA", at positions 523 to 918 of the family's 1533-position model. The record is from RNAcentral.
AUACGGAGGAUGCAAGCGUUAUCCGGAUUUAUUGGGUUUAAAGGGUGCGUAGGCGGUUUGCUAAGCGGGAGGUGAAAUGCCGGCGCUCAACGUCGGAAGUGCCUCCCGAACUGGUGGACUUGAAUGACUCUGCCGUGGGAGGAAUGGGUAGUGGAGCGGUGAAAUGCUUAGAGAUUACACAGAACACCGAUUGCGAAGGCAUCUCACGAAGGGUUGAUUGACGCUGAGGCACGAAAGCGUGGGGAUCAAACAGGAUUAGAUACCCUGGUAGUCCACGCAGUAAACGAUGAUGGCUAACCGCUGGGCUUAUCAGUUCAGUGGCCAAGCGAAAGCGAUAAGCCAUCCACCUGGGGAGUACGACCGCAAGGUUGAAACUCAAAUGAAUCGACGGGG